This 96-nucleotide small nuclear RNA is filed under the name Fukomys damarensis (Damara mole-rat). RNAcentral describes it as "U2 spliceosomal RNA". It matches the Rfam family "U2 spliceosomal RNA". Rfam says of the family: U2 is a small nuclear RNA (snRNA) component of the spliceosome (involved in pre-mRNA splicing). Complementary binding between U2 snRNA (in an area lying towards the 5' end but 3' to hairpin I) and the branchpoint sequence (BPS) of the intron results the bulging out of an unpaired adenosine, on the BPS, which initiates a nucleophilic attack at the intronic 5' splice site, thus starting the first of two transesterification reactions that mediate splicing. The record is from Rfam by way of RNAcentral. Lineage: Eukaryota; Metazoa; Chordata; Mammalia; Rodentia; Bathyergidae.
AUUGCUUCUCGGCCUUUUGGCUAAGAUCAAGUGUAGUAUCUAAUCUUUUUGAUAUAUAAUAGAUAUCUCAUACAUUACAUGGUUUGAGGACUCUUG